AUUGAACGCUGGCGGCAUGCCUUACACAUGCAAGUCGAACGGCAGCGCGGGAGCAAUCCUGGCGGCGAGUGGCGAACGGGUGAGUAAUAUAUCGGAACGUGCCCAGUAGUGGGGGAUAGCCCGGCGAAAGCCGGAUUAAUACCGCAUGAGACCUGAGGGUGAAAGCGGGGGAUCGCAAGACCUCGCGCUAUUGGAGCGGCCGAUAUCAGAUUAGCUAGUUGGUGGGGUAAAGGCCUACCAAGGCAACGAUCGAUAGCUGGUCUGAGAGGAUGAUCAGCCACACUGGAACUGAGACACGGUCCAGACUCCUACGGGAGGCAGCAGUAGGGAAUAUUGGACAAUGGGGGCAACCCUGAUCCAGCCAUGCCGCGUGAGUGAAGAAGGCCCUCGGGUUGUAAAGCUCUUUUGUCCGGAAAGAAAAGCAUCUGGUUAAUACCCGGGUGUUCUGACGGUACCGGAGGAAUAAGCACCGGCUAACUUCGUGCCAGCAGCC
This 493-nucleotide ribosomal RNA is filed under the name uncultured bacterium. RNAcentral's name for it is "bacterial SSU rRNA". It matches the Rfam family "Bacterial small subunit ribosomal RNA", at positions 30 to 516 of the family's 1533-position model. The record is from RNAcentral.